Molecule: long non-coding RNA, 512 nt
Organism: Panicum virgatum (switchgrass)
Lineage: Eukaryota; Viridiplantae; Streptophyta; Magnoliopsida; Poales; Poaceae
Exons: 2
Source: RefSeq, a predicted model, not a curated record
UAUAUGAUCUUUUCCCUGCCUAUAAUUUUUCUUAUGUUACUCCUGAGCAUUGCUUGUUUUCAUAUCUGAGGUGUUGGGCAAUAUGCUAUGAAGGAAUUUUACUUGCUAUUAGCUAGUCAAAUAUAAGGCUUGGGUAGGAGGCUACCUGUGUCUGCGCUAAGGUAUCUCAGGACAAAGUUCUUCUGUAUGACCACCAAGUUCACAUUUCCUAUUAGCAAACAAAUGGUUUCAAUGAUCGUAGCUAAUCUUUUAGGAAGAAAUGGGCUUCAGAUUGUUUGGUGCUGCUGAUUAGAGCUUGGAGCUGUUGCUGCCUUCUCUUGUGUGCAAAUACAACACAUUGCAAAGAUUGGUUUGCCUUUCCUGCUUUCCUGCUUUGCAAAAGUCACAAGUGCCUAUUCAUUACUUAGUAGCAGUUUGUUGUAGUGGAAUGGAAUGAUUACAUUUUGUAACCUACAUGAUUGAUUUAAGUAGAAAACAUCUUUACAUCUUCGAUCCAGUGAUUCUUUGAGAUA